Molecule: ribosomal RNA, 528 nt
Filed under: uncultured bacterium
Lineage: Bacteria
Description: bacterial SSU rRNA
Rfam family: Bacterial small subunit ribosomal RNA
Source: RNAcentral
AGUCAAUAGAUACCCAGGUAGUCCACGCCGUAAACGAUGAGUACUAGGUGUAGGAGGUAUCGACUCCUUCUGUGCCGCAGUUAACACAAUAAGUACUCCGCCUGGGAAGUACGGUCGCAAGAUUAAAACUCAAAGGAAUUGACGGGGGCCCGCACAAGCAGCGGAGCAUGUGGUUUAAUUCGAAGCAACGCGAAGAACCUUACCUAGACUCGACAUCUCCUGAAUAGCGCAGAGAUGCGUGAAGCCCCUUCGGGGCGGGAAGACAGGUGGUGCAUGGUUGUCGUCAGCUCGUGUCGUGAGAUGUUGGGUUAAAGUCCCGCAACAAGCGCAACCCCUAUUAUUAGUUGCUACCAUUAAGUUGAGCACUCUAAUGAGACUGCCCGGGUUAACCGGAGGAAGCGGGGAUGACGUCAAAUCAUCAUGCCCCUUAUGUCUAGGGCUACACACGUGCUACAAUGGUGAGAACAACGAGAUGCAAUACCGCGAGGUGAGCAAAACUGAAAACCUCAUCUCAGUUCGGAUUGUAGG